Long non-coding RNA from Mustela lutreola (European mink), 348 nucleotides. RefSeq lists it as uncharacterized. The transcript is spliced from 3 exons. NCBI's taxonomy places the organism in Eukaryota, Metazoa, Chordata, Mammalia, Carnivora, Mustelidae. The record is from RefSeq and is a predicted model, not a curated record.
UUUAAUACAAAGGAAAGCAUUCCUCCAACGCUACAGAGUGAACCAGAAACACAACAGGCUUGGAAGAAUAUUUUUCCUUCCAUCUUGGAGACAGAGGAAACCAGGGACGGUUAACCGCUCAGAGAUAGCGGAUCCUGGGGUUCCUCGCCUCCAUCAUCAAUGAAGCCAAUGCCUCUACGCAAGCCCUGUGGAGGAUAUCUGUCUGCGUCCUGUCCGUCUUGCUCCCCUAGAGAACACUGUGGCGAAGUACUUCUCAGCAUAACUGGAUACAAAGCAGUACCCACUUGCUGCUUACUUUGCCAGAACCCAACAUGCCAUUGACACUGUGCUGGAGGCUGAGACAGACAA